AAUAUUGCGCAAUGGAGGAAACUCUGACGCAGCGACGCCGCGUGAGUGACGAAGGCCUUCGGGUUGUAAAGCUCUGUCAGCAGGGAAGAAAUCGUGAGGGUUAAUACCCCUUGCGGAUGACGGUACCUGCAGAGGAAGCACCGGCUAACUCUGUGCCAGCCGCCGCGGUAAUACAGAGGGUGCGAGCGUUGUUCGGAAUUACUGGGCGUAAAGAGCAUGUAGGCGGUUUGGUAAGUCAGAUGUGAAAUCUCGGGGCUCAACCCCGAACGUGCAUUUGAAACUACCAGGCUCGAGUAUGGUAGAGGAUUGUGGAAUACCCAGUGUAGAGGUGAAAUUCGUAGAUAUUGGGUAGAACACCGGUGGCGAAGGCGGCAAUCUGGGCCAUAACUGACGCUGAGAUGCGAAAGCGUGGGGAGCAAACAGG
RNAcentral lists this ribosomal RNA (424 nucleotides) under uncultured bacterium. RNAcentral describes it as "bacterial SSU rRNA". It matches the Rfam family "Bacterial small subunit ribosomal RNA", at positions 360 to 776 of the family's 1533-position model. The record is from RNAcentral.